RNAcentral lists this ribosomal RNA (252 nucleotides) under uncultured bacterium. RNAcentral's name for it is "partial 16S ribosomal RNA". It matches the Rfam family "Bacterial small subunit ribosomal RNA", at positions 86 to 334 of the family's 1533-position model. The record is from RNAcentral.
UGGGAGUGAGUGGCGAACGGGUGAGUAACACGUGAGUAACCUGCCCCCUUCCUUUGGGAUAACGCCCGGAAACGGGUGCUAAUACUGGAUAUUCACUGGCCUUCGCAUGGGGGUUGGGUGGAAAGGUUUGUUCUGGUGGGGGAUGGGCUCGCGGCCUAUCAGCUUGUUGGUGGGGUGAUGGCCUACCAAGGCUUUGACGGGUAGCCGGCCUGAGAGGGUGACCGGUCACAUUGGGACUGAGAUACGGCCCAG